RNAcentral lists this long non-coding RNA (1062 nucleotides) under Bemisia tabaci. RNAcentral's name for it is "lncRNA ENSSSA1NGG011126". Lineage: Eukaryota; Metazoa; Arthropoda; Insecta; Hemiptera; Aleyrodidae. The record is from RNAcentral.
AUGCACGAACAUCCUAUUUUAACAGUGAUACUACGUUCCUACGUUCCUACGUUCCUAGGCAUGGCUGAAUUACGAGCUCAACGUUUGAAAAAUUUGUUCGAUGCAGUUCUUGAAGGUAAGAAAACUAUUACUCCCAUCACUUCAAACCUUUUUCUAGAGGCCAUUUGUGAACAGUCACCGGCAGUAACUACCAUCUCGUCUUUAGUGUCCAGCCCACAUGGUCUUGAGGCUUUACUGUUAGCAUUUAGCAGUGAUACUUCAAUUGAUUUUCUCAAUGGAAAGCUUGCCGUGUUUUUGGAGCACAUCAAAGCACCAGAUUUGCAGACUAUCCAAGAUGGUAAAGCGGUUCGGCAGAUCAUUGCAAAGCUGAUGGAAGCCCCUCUAACGUGGAAAAGUCUCGUCAAAGCGGCGCACGAUCGGGCUUUGAACGAACGUGCUCUUGGCGUAUUUGCAUGGCUUCUUGUACAACUGCUUUAUUUGCCCGUCAAGGAAGCCGCCGCUUACUUGUCUGUAGCACGAGAUCCUUCCAUUCAAAGAGCUCUCCUUGAAUCUUCCUCGUACGAUGUCAAGAGCCAAGGAGAACUAAUCAAGCAAAUCGCCGAUAAAAUAGCUGAAAGCUCGGGCUCGGAGGAGCCAGUUCUGAAGAUUACACAACGUGACCCUGGUGGACGACAUGACAAUGAUUUUCCCGAGAUUCACAGGAUUUCCAUCUAUCCGACCCCGGAUGAGCUGAAAGCAACGGCUAGAUACUUGCCCAGGCCUUGCGACGCCGAAGACAGAGCUCAGGAAUCGGAUGCUCUUGCUAGUCAUAUUGACUGUCAAUUCCGUCUGCUCCGCGAGGACAUGCUUUGCGAAUUGCGUGAGGAUCUUGCAGCGGUUACGCAGCCUAAACAUAGAGGCAGAAAACCCUUGGAGAUCUUGAACCUUUCUUUAGAGGGUGUCUAUUGCGAUCUCCGCUCACCCUGGUCCGUGCAACUUCAUUGCACAAAAGGCUUGCCGCAAUUACGUGGUUUGAGAUCUAAUCAGCGAAAGAAUUACUUUAAAAAUAAACAAAAUUUUUAA